Molecule: ribosomal RNA, 237 nt
Filed under: Klebsiella pneumoniae
Lineage: Bacteria; Pseudomonadati; Pseudomonadota; Gammaproteobacteria; Enterobacterales; Enterobacteriaceae
Description: partial 23S ribosomal RNA
Rfam family: Bacterial large subunit ribosomal RNA
Source: RNAcentral
UGCCGUAUCUUCUGGAGAAGGCACGCUGGUGUGUAGGUUAAGUCCCUGCGGAUGGAGCUGAGACCAGUCGAAGAUACGAGCUGGCUGCAACUGUUUAUUAAAAACACAGCACUGUGCAAACACGAAUGUGGACGUAUACGGUGUGACGCCUGCCCGGCGCCGGAAGGUUAAUUGAUGGGGUUAUCCGUUAGGAGUAGCUGUUGAUAGAAGCCCCGGUAAACGGCGGCCGUAACUAUA